UGCGUAGGCGGCUCUCUAAGUCGGAUGUGAAAACUCUGGGCUCAACCCAGAGCCUGCAUCCGAAACUGGAGGGCUAGGGUUCUGGAGGGGAAAGCGGAAUUCCUGGUGUAGCGGUGAAAUGCGUAGAUAUCAGGAGGAACACCGGUGGCGAAGGCGGCUUUCUGGACAGAUACCGACGCUGAGGCACGAAAGCUAGGGGAGGCAAACA
This 208-nucleotide ribosomal RNA is filed under the name uncultured bacterium. RNAcentral describes it as "partial 16S ribosomal RNA". It matches the Rfam family "Bacterial small subunit ribosomal RNA", at positions 568 to 774 of the family's 1533-position model. The record is from RNAcentral.